RNAcentral lists this long non-coding RNA (349 nucleotides) under Sinocyclocheilus anshuiensis. Its description in RNAcentral is "lncRNA (ENSSANG00000000707.1)". The record is from RNAcentral. Lineage: Eukaryota; Metazoa; Chordata; Actinopteri; Cypriniformes; Cyprinidae.
CUAUUAGGGCCUUGCGGGACCCUGCGCCCCUCACUGUCUAACAGGGCAGGUUUGCACUGACUGAGGGCGAUGUAAGAGUUAACAGGUGGCGGCAGUGUUUAGAUGCACACAUAUCUAUCUGGGAAAUGACCAAGAUGAGGACAAGAACCCAGCAGCAGCAAACCACUCGUUAUGCCAUUGCUGUCAGCCAAGAAAACAAAGCAUCCUAGCGCCUCCUAUGCAUGGAUGUGAAGACUAACACAUUUAAUGAACACUGUAAUUUAAAAUACAGCAUGUGUUUGUGUGUGACAAAUCCACUGCCCGCUGAUCACACAUCUUACAUCCUGCCACAUGGUGAGGAUUUGCCAGC